CGGUAAUACGUAGGUGGCAAGCGUUGUCCGGAAUUAUUGGGCGUAAAGCGCGCGCAGGCGGUCCUUUAAGUCUGAUGUGAAAGCCCACGGCUCAACCGUGGAGGGUCAUUGGAAACUGGGGGACUUGAGUACAGAAGAGGAAAGCGGAAUUCCAAGUGUAGCGGUGAAAUGCGUAGAGAUUUGGAGGAACACCAGUGGCGAAGGCGGCUUUCUGGUCUGUAACUGACGCUGAGGCGCGAAAGCGUGGGGAGCAAACAGGAUUAGAUACCCUGGUAGUCCACGCCGUAAACGAUGAGUGCUAAGUGUUAGGGGGUUUCCGCCCCUUAGUGCUGCAGCUAACGCAUUAAGCACUCCGCCUGGGGAGUACGGCCGCAAGGCUGAAACUC
Molecule: ribosomal RNA, 386 nt
Filed under: uncultured bacterium
Lineage: Bacteria
Description: bacterial SSU rRNA
Rfam family: Bacterial small subunit ribosomal RNA
Source: RNAcentral